ACGUCAUCCCACCUGGGAAGUACGAUCGCAAGAUUGAAACUCAAAGGAAUUGGCGGGGGUCCGCACAAGCGGUGGAGCAUGUGGCUUAAUUCGAUGAUACGCGAGGAACCUUACCUGGGCUAGAAUGCUGGUAGACCGAGGGUGAAAGCUCUUUUUGUAGCAAUACACUGCCAGUAAGGUGCUGCAUGGCUGUCGUCAGCUCGUGCCGUGAGGUGUUGGGUUAAGUCCCGCAACGAGCGCAACCCCCAUCACUAGUUGCCAUCAGGUAAUGCUGGGAACUCUAGUGAAACUGCCGUCGCAAGACGCGAGGAAGGUGGGGAUGACGUGAUCGGAUUCUAAG
This 340-nucleotide unclassified non-coding RNA is filed under the name uncultured Chitinophagaceae bacterium. RNAcentral's name for it is "contains 16S-23S intergenic spacer region". It matches the Rfam family "Bacterial small subunit ribosomal RNA", at positions 861 to 1197 of the family's 1533-position model. Lineage: Bacteria; Pseudomonadati; Bacteroidota; Chitinophagia; Chitinophagales; Chitinophagaceae. The record is from RNAcentral.